GAAAAAAUAGGCCUGUAUUUUAAGGCUCCUUUUACUGGGGACUCUGAUACCUAUGACUGAACACAAUCUCUAAUUAAUAUAGGAAAUAACUUUGGUUGAGCACUUAUUAUAUACUAAGCUAUGUUGGAUGUGGUCAUUUCUUUUGUCAUUUAAACCCCCAAGGCCCAGAAGUGAGCUUUCUAUGCCUCUGUUUACAGAUGAAUAAACUGAAACAGAAAAGUGAACAGUAAAGAGAAAAGCUCAUCUCUUUUACGCAAUCUUCCUAGAGAAAAUUAACUAGUUCUUCCUCUGAAUGCACCUGUCUAGUACAUAUCUUAUCUAGCAACUGACAUACAGAUAUAGAAGAAGACGUUUGGGGCGUAUCAGAGUAUCGCUUUGCAGCCUGGAAUGGUAUCUGAUUCACCAUGGCAUUGCAGGUGCCUGAAGAAUUUAAUGUAUAUUUUUUAAAAGUAAAAUCAAGAGAAUACACUGUCUUGUAGUAUAUUCUCUAGAGUUGUCACUGUUAAGAAGACCCAGUUGUGUAGUGGAGACAAGAACCAGUGGGAAACAGGUGAAAGUUUUACCACUGGGAAACCAAGAACCAAGAAGUUUUUACAAUCUUCAGUCUCCUGCCAGGACCACUGCUUGCUGAUGUCUCAAUGCUUCUUAGACUCUUAAGUUCUAUUCUGUUUCUACCAGUGUAACUCAUUAUAUUAACAGAACGUAGGAGAAAAAAAAGCACAGACCUAUCUCAGUUGAAGGAAAAAGGCAUCUGACAAAAUUUAACAUCCAUUCAGGAUAAAAGCCCUCAGCAAAUUAAGGAUAAAAGGAAGCAUCCUCAAUAUGAUAAAGCACAUGUGCAACAAUCCUACAGCUAACAUAGCACUUAAUGGGAUAUUCAACAUAGUUCCCUGCUGUGUACAGCUCUAUAGCACUGGCCACUGCUUGGAAGUUUCCCAAGAAUUUCAGCUGGUGAGGAAUGGAAGAGAAUGUGAUACAAAGUUUGACUUCAUAAAGACACCUUCUUAGAACUCUAAGGAUUUCUAAGGAGAAUUCUGAAGCUCAGAUAAACUGAAGAAUAACACAAAAUACCAGCUAACAAGAACUUCUUA
Molecule: non-coding RNA, 1091 nt
Organism: Odocoileus virginianus texanus
Lineage: Eukaryota; Metazoa; Chordata; Mammalia; Artiodactyla; Cervidae
Source: RefSeq, a predicted model, not a curated record